Molecule: small RNA, 136 nt
Filed under: Salmonella enterica subsp. enterica serovar Infantis
Lineage: Bacteria; Pseudomonadati; Pseudomonadota; Gammaproteobacteria; Enterobacterales; Enterobacteriaceae
Also listed under: 1 other name
Description: RtT sRNA
Rfam family: RtT RNA
About the family: This family represents a bacterial cis-regulatory element known as RtT RNA. The exact function of RtT is unknown although it is thought that it may be involved in changing the cellular response in relation to amino acid starvation.
Source: RNAcentral
UAUCCCCCAAACCAAGGGGGGAUGAGAACCACCGACCGGGGUUCGACAACUGGCGCAGCCAGUUGGACAGACGAUGAGCUUGCGAGGAGACUGCCCGAAGGGCGAGCGCAGCGAGUCAAUCCCCCCCUCACCGCCA